UACGAAGGGGGCUAGCGUUGCUCGGAAUCACUGGGCGUAAAGGGUGCGUAGGCGGUCGGGUAAGUCUGGCGUGAAAUCUCCAAGCCUAACUUGGAAACUGCGUUGGAUACUAUCCGGCUCGAGGAAUGGAGGGGAGACUGGAAUACUUGGUGUAGCAGUGAAAUGCGUAGAUAUCAAGUGGAACACCAGUGGCGAAGGCGAGUCUCUGGACAUUUCCUGACGCUGAGGCACGAAAGCCAGGGGAGCAAACGGG
This 253-nucleotide ribosomal RNA is filed under the name uncultured bacterium. RNAcentral's name for it is "partial 16S ribosomal RNA". It matches the Rfam family "Bacterial small subunit ribosomal RNA", at positions 524 to 776 of the family's 1533-position model. The record is from RNAcentral.